Molecule: ribosomal RNA, 500 nt
Filed under: uncultured bacterium
Lineage: Bacteria
Description: partial 16S ribosomal RNA
Rfam family: Bacterial small subunit ribosomal RNA
Source: RNAcentral
AUUGAACGCUGGCGGAAUGCUUUACACAUGCAAGUCGAACGGCAGCACGGACUUCGGUCUGGUGGCGAGUGGCGAACGGGUGAGUAAUAUAUCGGAACGUGCCCAGUCGUGGGGGAUAACGUAGCGAAAGCUACGCUAAUACCGCAUACGACCUACGGAUGAAAGCGGGGGAUCGCAAGACCUCGCGCGAUUGGAGCGGCCGACAUCAGAUUAGGUAGUUGGUGAGGUAAAGGCUCACCAAGCCGACGAUCUGUAGCUGGUCUGAGAGGACGACCAGCCACACUGGGAGUGAGACACGGCCCAGACUCCUGCGGGAGGCAGCAGUGGGGAAUGUUGGACAAUGGACGCAAGUCUGAUCCAGCCAUUCCGCGUGCAGGACGAAGGCCUUCGGGUUGUAAACUGCUUUUGUACAGAACGAAAAGGUCUCUAUUAAUACUAGGGGCUCAUGACGGUACUGUAAGAAUAAGCACCGGCUAACUACGUGCCAGCCGCCGCCGUAA